GCCUGGGUGGCUCAGUUGGUUGAGCGUCUGACUUUGGCUCAGGUCAUGAUCUCGGGUCUGUGAGUUCCAGCCCCGCGUCAGGCU
Molecule: transfer RNA, 84 nt
Filed under: Felis catus (domestic cat)
Lineage: Eukaryota; Metazoa; Chordata; Mammalia; Carnivora; Felidae
Rfam family: tRNA
About the family: Transfer RNA (tRNA) molecules are approximately 80 nucleotides in length.
Source: Rfam by way of RNAcentral